ACGCUCGACACCUACGGGAGGAGCAGUGGGGAAUAUUGCACAAUGGGGGAAACCCUGAUGCAGCGACGCCGCGUGAGUGAAGAAGUAUUUCGGUAUGUAAAGCUCUAUCAGCAGGGAAGAAAAUGACGGUACCUGAGUAAGAAGCCCCGGCCUAACUACGUGCCAACAGCCGCGGUAAUCUGAGCGGGCGUGGCAAGGC
This 199-nucleotide ribosomal RNA is filed under the name uncultured bacterium. RNAcentral's name for it is "partial 16S ribosomal RNA". It matches the Rfam family "Bacterial small subunit ribosomal RNA", at positions 328 to 538 of the family's 1533-position model. The record is from RNAcentral.